UGGUGAGGGGUUCCGCCUGUUGAUGGUGAAUGGCUGGAGGGCUCCGCCUGUUGGUGGUGAAUGCAUGGAGGGCUCUGCCUGUUGGUGGUCAGAGUUGGGAGGGCUCUGCCUGUUGGUGGUGAAUGUCUGGAGGGCUCCGCCUGUUGGUGGUGAGAGCUGGGAGGGUUCCGCCUGUUGGUGGUGAAUGCCUGGAGAGCUCCGCUUGUUGGUGGUGAAUGCCUGGAAGGCUCCGCCUGUUGGUGGUGAAUGCCUGGAAGGCUCCGCCUGUUGGUGGUGAGAGCUGGGAGGUUCGUGGUGAGGGGUUCUACCUGUUGGUGGUGAGAGCUUGGAGGGCUCCGCCUGUUGGUGGUGAAUGCAUGGAGGGCUCUGCCUGUUGAUGGUGAGAGCUGGGAGGGCUCCGCCUGUUGGUGGUGAGAGCUGGGAGGUUCGUGGUGAGGGGUUCCACCCGUUGGUGGUGAGUGCCAGGGUGUUCGUGGUGAGCGCUGCCGCCUGUUGGUGGUGAGAGCUGGGAUGGCUGGCGCCUGUUGGUGGUGAAUGCCUGGAGGGCUCCGCCUGUUGGUGGUGAGAGCUGGGAGGGCUCUGCCUGUUGGUGGUGAAUGUCCGGAGGGCUCUGCCUGUUGGUGAUGAGAGCUGGGAGGUUCAUGGUGAGGGGUUCCGCCUGUUGGUGGCGAGCAGUCAGAGCUGAGAGGGCUCCGCCUGUUGGUGGUGAGCACCAGGAGGUUCGUGGUGAGGGGUUCCACCUGUUGGCGGUCGGAGCUGGGAGGGCUCCGCCUGUUGGUGGUGAGAGCUGGGAGGUUCGUGGUGAGAGCUGGGAGGUUCAUGGUGAGGGGUUCCACCUGUUGGUGGUCAGAGCUGGGAGGGCUC
RNAcentral lists this long non-coding RNA (864 nucleotides) under Numida meleagris (helmeted guineafowl). RNAcentral describes it as "lncRNA (ENSNMEG00000003879.1)". The record is from RNAcentral. Lineage: Eukaryota; Metazoa; Chordata; Aves; Galliformes; Numididae.